AUCCAGCUGACGAUUCGCAAAUAGGACGAAACGCGCGUCCUGUCUGGAU
Molecule: non-coding RNA, 49 nt
Organism: Schistosoma rodhaini
Lineage: Eukaryota; Metazoa; Platyhelminthes; Trematoda; Strigeidida; Schistosomatidae
Source: Rfam